CAGAGAAUGCUAGGGCAUAAAUGGUUUCUUCCAUGACCUGGGAUAGGGGUGACCCAAAGAGCGCAGGACAAGGCUCAUAUCAUCCCGUCUCUGGUUCCAACCUGCUGGCUGAGUGCUGGAUGCAUUGCUGGAUGAGGGUUUUUACAGUUGCAGGGGUCACAGGCAUGUGUUCCAAGCCCCACUCACAUCACUAUACCAUGCUGCUCCCGGACACCUUUGUAGGCGUGGACACACAGGUUGACCUCUUCAGUCCACUCUGCAAAUGCUUUCUGUGUCCCAUCUUUUAGAACACCCAGGAUCACCGCCAGAGGUGGCAGCCAACCACUGUCCCAGAGGUGGCACCCAGGACCACCGUCCCAGAGGUGGCACCCAGGACCACCGUCCCAGAGGUGGCACCCAGGUCCACCGUCCCAGAGGUGGCAGCCAAUCACCAGUCAAGAAAAUGCUCCACAGGCUUGUCUACAGGUGA
This is a long non-coding RNA of Mus musculus (house mouse), 469 nucleotides long. RefSeq annotates it as predicted gene, 30212. Lineage: Eukaryota; Metazoa; Chordata; Mammalia; Rodentia; Muridae. The record is from RefSeq and is a predicted model, not a curated record. The transcript is spliced from 3 exons.